GGAAUAUUGGGCAAUGGGCGCAAGCCUGACCCAGCAACGCCGCGUGAAGGAAGAAGGUUUUCGGAUCGUAAACUUCUGUCCUAUGUGAAGAGAGGUAGACGGUAGCAUAGGAGGAAGCCCCGGCUAACUACGUGCCAGCAGCCGCGGUAAUACGUAGGGGGCGAGCGUUGUCCGGAAUGAUUGGGCGUAAAGGGCGCGUAGGCGGCCAUUUAAGUCUGGAGUGAAAGUCCUGUUUUCAAGAUGGGAAUUGCUUUGGAUACUGGGUGGCUUGAGUGCAGGAGAGGUUAUCGGAAUUCCCGGUGUAGCGGUGAAAUGCGUAGAGAUCGGGAGGAACACCAGUGGCGAAGGCGGGUAACUGGACUGCAACUGACGCUGAGGCGCGAAAGUGUGGGGAGCAAACA
RNAcentral lists this ribosomal RNA (401 nucleotides) under uncultured bacterium. RNAcentral describes it as "bacterial SSU rRNA". It matches the Rfam family "Bacterial small subunit ribosomal RNA", at positions 358 to 774 of the family's 1533-position model. The record is from RNAcentral.